ACUGUCCUAGCCACCUUUUAUUUGAGGAGGAUUGUAAAACCAAAAUUCUCCUGCCUUACACAAUUCUGAUUCACACCCCGCUGAGGUACCAGAGGCCAACGUAAUUAAGGAAAGCUCUGCUGUGAUCACCAUUGUGCCUUGAAGCUGCCAACCCCUUCCUGCUGUAUUGGAUGAUUAUGAGCAGGAGCACAUAUCAAGAGCCAAGGCCUGGGAUCGCUAUCAGUGAGAAAGACCAACGCUUUGAAUGUGACAACCAAAAUUCUACCAGAGGGCAGCAUGGACAGCACCAACCUGACCAUCUUUUCUUAGGAAGCUUUUCCACAGAUGAAAGGAUAACCAGCAUCCUAGCUUUGACUGCUGAUGGUCUAGAAACACAGAGACAAUCAGCUCAGAAACCAUUCCCCUGCAUUCUCACCAUCAGUUCCUGGUAUGACAGCCUUUCUACAAACACUACUUGACUGAAGUUCGGAAAGGGAAAAUUAAUUUUCAGAAUCAUGGAGGACUGGUUCUAGGACUGAACUUCCCUGGUACGCUUGUGUGCCUCUCAUCACUCCUAUUGCAGUCUACCCCCUCCUCAGAAACAGGACAAGCUUACCGUUUCUUUCCUUCAGAAGUUCUGGUGUUAGUCUAUAGAUGAGCAACCACCGAACCCCGGGAAUCACCUCAUGUUAUGGAUGUCAUCAAGACCUUGCAGUCCGAAUUUCAGAGGAAUUUGGAUCCACCCUUUCAAGAGACAUCACAUGUUACAAAUUAACCACAUAGCAUGUAUAAGUGGAACACCCUUCAACCUGUAAUCAUGUUCUGGAUGGUCCUCUCAAA
Molecule: long non-coding RNA, 819 nt
Filed under: Anas platyrhynchos platyrhynchos (common mallard)
Lineage: Eukaryota; Metazoa; Chordata; Aves; Anseriformes; Anatidae
Description: lncRNA (ENSAPLG00000030730.1)
Source: RNAcentral